UCCAUUUUGUUAUGUUUUCAAUAACUCCUAAUUCAAUACAAUUCAAAUGAACUAAAAUAUACAAUGACACAUUGUUAAAUUGGUCAUAGCUAAUAGGUAGUCACGUAAGAAUAAAUCUGAACACUACUCCAUUCUAUCCCAACUUGAGGCUACAUUGAUGUGAAUUCAGGGCAUGUACCUGGAUUCGAAUGGACAGAAGACAAAAUAGAAGUCAGCAAUGUGUAAUGUCACAGG
Molecule: long non-coding RNA, 234 nt
Filed under: Nicotiana benthamiana
Lineage: Eukaryota; Viridiplantae; Streptophyta; Magnoliopsida; Solanales; Solanaceae
Description: long non-coding RNA (NBEN_LNC025683)
Source: RNAcentral